Long non-coding RNA from Thalassophryne amazonica, 137 nucleotides. RefSeq lists it as uncharacterized. The record is from RefSeq and is a predicted model, not a curated record. The transcript has 3 exons. Lineage: Eukaryota; Metazoa; Chordata; Actinopteri; Batrachoidiformes; Batrachoididae.
GGUCGGUGGUGUUGGACGGUGAGCGCUCGCGCCAGAAUCAGACAUCCCCGUCUUGACUUUGACCCAAACAGGACGCUGCUGGUGGUGCCGGUCUAGUUUUUAAGUGAUUAAAACCCUGCUGUGUUCGUGUUUACAAC